RNAcentral lists this ribosomal RNA (333 nucleotides) under Triticum aestivum (bread wheat). RNAcentral describes it as "partial small subunit ribosomal RNA". Lineage: Eukaryota; Viridiplantae; Streptophyta; Magnoliopsida; Poales; Poaceae. The record is from RNAcentral.
AUGAUUGAAUACCAUGUACAAGUAUGGGGACAAAAUAGUAAACAACAAAUAAAGGAUACUGGACGGAGAUACUGGACGGACGCAUGGAGCAUGAACUCCUCUUUUUCAGGGGCCACCUUACUUGUGUGCCCUCAGGACGAGGAGACCUUUCUAAGAUUGGAGAUGCGAACACUAGCUGUUUGUAAAUGCACAAGGAGGAGUGCUCAGGGGAGUACGAUAGCUUUCAGUGUACAUGGAGGAUGUGAAAGCGACGACAGAGGAGCUUGCUGUAGCUACUCGACUGCUCCGGGAAUCGUCCCUCCUGACAGAAGCAAGCACGAUGCCAUGUCCUAG